UCCUAUGAUGAGCAACAAUUAUUUCGCUGUGUUCUUACUGAACAUCAUUGAAGAAAAAAAAUUUUCACCUUGGAGAACUGAUAU
RNAcentral lists this small nucleolar RNA (84 nucleotides) under Aspergillus arachidicola. RNAcentral's name for it is "A. fumigatus snoRNA Afu_294". It matches the Rfam family "A. fumigatus snoRNA Afu_294". RNAcentral also lists the same sequence under 1 other name. The record is from Rfam by way of RNAcentral. Lineage: Eukaryota; Fungi; Ascomycota; Eurotiomycetes; Eurotiales; Aspergillaceae.